UGGGGAAUUUUGGACAAUGGGGGCAACCCUGAUCCAGCCAUGCCGCGUGAGUGAAGAAGGCCUUCGGGUUGUAAAGCUCUUUCAGACGGAAAGAAAACGCAUCGGUGAAUACCCGGUGUGGAUGACGGUACCGUAAGAAGAAGCACCGGCUAACUACGUGCCAGCAGCCGCGGUAAUACGUAGGGUGCGAGCGUUAAUCGGAAUUACUGGGCGUAAAGCGUGCGCAGGCGGUUAUGUAAGACAGAUGUGAAAUCCCCGGGCUCAACCUGGGAACUGCGUUUGUGACUGCAUAACUAGAGUACGGCAGAGGGAGGUGGAGUUCCGCGUGUAGCAGUGAAAUGCGUAGAUAUGCGGAGGAACACCGAUGGCGAAGGCAGCCUCCUGGGCCAGUACUGACGCUCAUGCACGAAAGCGUGGGGAGCAAACAGG
RNAcentral lists this ribosomal RNA (429 nucleotides) under uncultured bacterium. RNAcentral's name for it is "bacterial SSU rRNA". It matches the Rfam family "Bacterial small subunit ribosomal RNA", at positions 355 to 776 of the family's 1533-position model. The record is from RNAcentral.